GGGCCCAUAGCUCAGCGGUCAGAGCUGGCGACUCAUAAUCGCUCGGUCGCAGGUUCGAAUCCUGCUGGGCCCACCA
This 76-nucleotide transfer RNA is filed under the name Pseudomonadota bacterium. RNAcentral's name for it is "tRNA-Ile". It matches the Rfam family "tRNA". From Rfam's summary of the family: Transfer RNA (tRNA) molecules are approximately 80 nucleotides in length. Their secondary structure includes four short double-helical elements and three loops (D, anti-codon, and T loops). Lineage: Bacteria; Pseudomonadati; Pseudomonadota. The record is from RNAcentral. RNAcentral also lists the same sequence under 1 other name.